Molecule: long non-coding RNA, 274 nt
Filed under: Ananas comosus (pineapple)
Lineage: Eukaryota; Viridiplantae; Streptophyta; Magnoliopsida; Poales; Bromeliaceae
Description: long non-coding RNA (ACOM_LNC037564)
Source: RNAcentral
AGGCAACCGGUCCUUGGCGGGCGAGACCGGUCCCCGAGCGCGCCUUCGCAGAAAGAGACCGGUUCCGCGCAGGGAGAGACCGGUUCCCGAACGUUGGUUUUUCGGGUUCGCAGCGAGAGACCGGUCCCUGCUGGGGAGAGACCGGUCCCUCUGGGCGAAAAAUGCCGAGACCGGGCUGAUGCAAUAUUGGGUUUUUGAGGGGCCUCUUGGGAUUUUGUUACUCUAGAUGGCUUAUAGGGCCACACCCCCCUCUUCCCUUCUCAUUUCUCUCCUC